Long non-coding RNA from Hipposideros armiger (great roundleaf bat), 475 nucleotides. RefSeq lists it as uncharacterized. Lineage: Eukaryota; Metazoa; Chordata; Mammalia; Chiroptera; Hipposideridae. The transcript is spliced from 3 exons. The record is from RefSeq and is a predicted model, not a curated record.
CCUCAAGCCACAGGGACCAAAGUGCAGCUGGUCUCCUUGGAACCGGGGCUGGAAUGCACGCCACUGCAGUGACAUUCUUGGUUCUCAGAGACUACAUGGGCCUGCAUAGCCAGCUGCUCUGGGACUUUGUUCCCCAGCUCCUGGCUGCCACAUGCUCUCAGUUAAGCAGAAGCUGUGAGAGGACCUGGCGAGACCUGUCACCUCCGAGUGCCAAUCCUUGAAGAUGAUUUCUGAGCACAAAAUGGUCAAAGACAGCAGCAAGAGAGAGAACAUGGAGGGGAAACUGAGGGGAGGCCCAGGUGGGCCUCAUCCAAUCAGUUAAAGCCUGAAUAGAACAGAAGACUGACCUCCCCUGGGCAAGAAGGAAUUCUCCAGCAGAUGGUCUUGGGACUGGAACUGCAACAUUAGAUCUUCGUUGGGUCUCCAGCCUGCUGGCCCACCCUGUAGAUUUUGGUCUUGGCAGCCUUCAUAAUUG